RNAcentral lists this ribosomal RNA (253 nucleotides) under uncultured bacterium. RNAcentral's name for it is "partial 16S ribosomal RNA". It matches the Rfam family "Bacterial small subunit ribosomal RNA", at positions 524 to 776 of the family's 1533-position model. The record is from RNAcentral.
UACGGGGGGGGUAAGCGUUGUUCGGAAUUACUGGGCGUAAAGGGCUCGUAGGCGGCCAACUAAGUCAGACGUGAAAUCCCUCGGCUUAACCGGGGAACUGCGUCUGAUACUGGAUGGCUUGAGUUUGGGAGAGGGACGCGGAAUUCCAGGUGUAGCGGUGAAAUGCGUAGAUAUCUGGAGGAACACCGGUGGCGAAGGCGGCUCACUGGCCCGGUACUGACGCUGAGGUGCGAAAGCGUGGGGAGCAAACAGG